Molecule: ribosomal RNA, 1185 nt
Filed under: Triticum aestivum (bread wheat)
Lineage: Eukaryota; Viridiplantae; Streptophyta; Magnoliopsida; Poales; Poaceae
Description: partial small subunit ribosomal RNA
Source: RNAcentral
AUGGAUAUGGACUUUGAAGAUGCACGGAAAGAAUCCAUUGAGGGUUCAUAUGCGAUGUUGCUGCAAGGGGACAAAAACUCACAACAUAAAAAUGUCGAAGAGGUUAUAUCUCAUAACAAACCAAAAAAGGAUGCUAAUUUACAUGUUAUCUCACAAGACUAUGUUUGUACCCCUAGGGAUAUUACAGUCAUCGAAUCAAUCAAGUCUGCCCCCAAGAAUACCCAGUUCGUGGACAUUGGAGAUGCCUUGUUAUCAACCGACGAUUUGGAAUGCCUUAUGAAAGAUGAUAUGUUCUUACAUGACGGUGUGAUAAAUGCUUACAUAUAUUGCAUGCUUGCUCACGACCAUCUACAAAACAGAGCGGGUGAAAAGCGUAUCAUAUGGACUGUUUAUGCUAAAUUAUAUGGAAUACUGGACAUCACAUGCACUGUCAGACCAAUUCACCCAGAGCUGAAUAAGCUAAAAGGAGGUCCCAUAUACCAUCAACCUGACGAUCAAGAAAAUUUAGCUAAUUCUGAUCUCGAGAUACUGGACAAUCCAUCUGACGUAGUCAAAGACAAACGUCCUGCACCAAUCACUAUCAUACCCACGGACCAACGUGAAUUACUUGCCGGCCUCUGCAACUACAUCAUGUCGAUCGAUGAUGCCGGUUGUUUGGAGAAGGUAUGGGUCCGGAGCUCGACACCCGAUCCAAUGGGCUUAAGUCUUAAGAAACUUCAGUGCAUACUUAACAUAGAGGAGCCCAUGGACAAUGAUUGCUUCAACACAGCCGUGCGUAUGCUGGCAUGUGACGAGGGAGUAUUGUUCACAGACCCUCCUGUGCACUACAUGGAUCUACGAUUUUGUUCCAUGAUGCUAGAGUCAACACGAGGUCAGAAGUUUUGCGAGAUGAAAACUAUCCAGACGUUGGCAACAUUAUUUGAUAGCUGGUCUGGGAUGGACAAUGACAUCUCAUCGUGCAACAAGGAAUGUGUCUGGCUAUUUUGUUUUUCAUUUUAUGCUCUGGUGGAACGUAGGGUCCCGCUCCUGGCAGCGUGGUUGGAGCGCUUCGGCGCGCUGGACGUGGCCAAGGCUGUCAUGGCGGAUGUCCCGAUGAGGCUGGUCGAGCUCGCCAAGAUGAAGCGGGGGGAGGCCGCGGCCGCAGCCGCGGCUGGAGCAGCAGCAUCACUGCCAUUUGAUUGUUAA